Long non-coding RNA from Nanorana parkeri, 90 nucleotides. RefSeq lists it as uncharacterized. The transcript has 3 exons. The record is from RefSeq and is a predicted model, not a curated record. Lineage: Eukaryota; Metazoa; Chordata; Amphibia; Anura; Dicroglossidae.
UGCAGUGUCAUAAAGGAGCAUGAAGCCUGUGUUCUUUCUAUAGAACUCUGGCUUCCCAGGCAAUCGGGAAGCCGGGCGGCAGGUCAUGAC